Molecule: ribosomal RNA, 167 nt
Filed under: uncultured bacterium
Lineage: Bacteria
Description: partial 16S ribosomal RNA
Rfam family: Bacterial small subunit ribosomal RNA
Source: RNAcentral
CUAGUAAUGGCAGGUCAGCAUACUGCCGUGAAUACGUUCCCGGGCCCUUGUACACACCGCCCGUCACACCAUGAGAGUUGGAAAUACCCGAAGCCUGUGAGCUAACAGUAAUGAGGCAGCAGUCGAAGGUAGAGCCAAUGAUUGGGGUGAAGUCGUAACAAGGUAGC